GAUGAACGCUGGCGGCGUGCCUAAUACAUGCAAGUCGAACGAAACUUCUUUAUCACCGAGUGCUUGCACUCACCGAUAAAGAGUUGAGUGGCGAACGGGUGAGUAACACGUGGGCAACCUGCCCAAAAGAGGGGGAUAACACUUGGAAACAGGUGCUAAUACCGCAUAACCAUAGUUACCGCAUGGUAACUAUGUAAAAGGUGGCUAUACUACCGCUUUUGGAUGGGCCCGCGGCGCAUUAGCUAGUUGGUAGGGUAAGGCUUACCAAGGCAAUGAUGCGUAGCCGAAUUGAGAGGUUGAUCGGCCACAUUGGGACUGAGACACGGCCCAAACUCCUACGGGAGGCAGCAGUAGGGAAUCUUCCACAAUGGGCGAAAGCCUGAUGGAGCAACGCCGCGUGGGUGAAGAAGGUCUUCGGAUCGUAAAACCCUGUUGUUAGAGAAGAAAGUGCGUGAGAGUAACUGUUCACGUUUCGACGGUAUCUAACCAGAAAGCCACGGCUAACUACGUG
Molecule: ribosomal RNA, 511 nt
Filed under: uncultured bacterium
Lineage: Bacteria
Description: partial 16S ribosomal RNA
Rfam family: Bacterial small subunit ribosomal RNA
Source: RNAcentral